AUGUCUUGCUGCGGAGGAAACUGCGGCUGCGGCACCGCCUGCAAGUGCGGCAACGGCUGCGGCGGCUGCAACAUGUACCCCGAGGUUGAGGCCGCCGGCGCCACCCUCCUCGUCUCCGCCACCGCCACCCACAAGGCGAGCUCCGGCGGGAUGGAGAUGGCGGCCGAGAACGGCGGCUGCGGCUGCACCCAGUGCAAGUGCGGCACCAGCUGCGGCUGCUCCUGCUGCAGCUGCUAG
Molecule: ribosomal RNA, 237 nt
Filed under: Triticum aestivum (bread wheat)
Lineage: Eukaryota; Viridiplantae; Streptophyta; Magnoliopsida; Poales; Poaceae
Description: partial small subunit ribosomal RNA
Source: RNAcentral